UACGAAGGGGGCUAGCGUUGUUCGGAAUUACUGGGCGUAAAGCGCACGUAGGCGGAUCGAUCAGUCAGGGGUGAAAUCCCAGGGCUCAACCCUGGAACUGCCUUUGAUACUGUCGAUCUGGAGUAUGGAAGAGGUGAGUGGAAUUCCGAGUGUAGAGGUGAAAUUCGUAGAUAUUCGGAGGAACACCAGUGGCGAAGGCGGCUCACUGGUCCGGUACUGACGCUGAGGCGCGAAAGCGUGGGGAGCAAACAGG
RNAcentral lists this ribosomal RNA (253 nucleotides) under uncultured bacterium. RNAcentral describes it as "partial 16S ribosomal RNA". It matches the Rfam family "Bacterial small subunit ribosomal RNA", at positions 524 to 776 of the family's 1533-position model. The record is from RNAcentral.